Molecule: ribosomal RNA, 1517 nt
Filed under: Triticum aestivum (bread wheat)
Lineage: Eukaryota; Viridiplantae; Streptophyta; Magnoliopsida; Poales; Poaceae
Description: partial small subunit ribosomal RNA
Source: RNAcentral
CGAAGGCCAUCCACAUGUCGUUGUUGUUAACUAAUUUUUUCGUUAUCGUUCGUUGUUUAGGGGUGACUCGCGGCUCACUGACGGGGAAGAUGUGAAGCGGUAAGUAAAGCAGGAGUGGUAGGUCGCGGCGAGGCGGAGCUAGAAGGAGGAGGAGAUGGAGUGGUAGUUCGCGAGGAGGAGGAGGAGAAGAGGUAGGUGGAGUGGUGGGUCGGUGAAGGGCCGACGGUUUCCACCGCGCCCUUUAAGACCGUCGCAGCCACACACACAAACGACGACGCCGACCCCGCCGUCGCCGGACGAGCAGCCGAGUGCCCCCGGCCUCGCCUCAUGGCCACGGCACCACCACCUCGGGGAGGGCCACCCACCGACCCUCACUGCCGCCCGACGUCCCGACCGCACGUCACCGCCGAGGCAACGAGCGGUCUAGACCGCCGGCGGGUCGUGCGAGUCCCCGACCAACGUGGAUACCGCCUCCGCUCCCUCCUCCAGACCACCACGACGAGCAGACGGCCACCGCCUUCCUAAGACCCCGCCGAACCCACUUUAGUGGUUCAAAAGAGAAGGCACUCGAGAAGAGACAUGGUAGCAACCGGUAGAGACAUACUUAGUUAUACCGUUUUAAUUGAGCUGGAUAGAUAAUCCGACCCGUGUGGUACCAACGUGGUUAAAAAAAGACAUAGAGGUCUAGCCGAGAAGAGGAAGAAAUCCUAAUAAUAUCGAGUUUACCGUAGAGGUUAAAAAAGGCACAUAGAAACCUAACCGAUCAAAAAAGACACAUAGAAGUCUAGUCGGGACAGAGGAAGAAAUCCUAAUAAUCCUGAACCCCAUCCGCAUCCGUGACCUGGCCGCCGCUCGCCGCCGUACCAUUUCCACGUCGCGCGAUCUCCACCUUCUACCCUAACCUAGCACCCAGCACGCCGAUCCCUCGACGGUAGGAGGGUCGUUCCGAUCCUGGCCGCCUCCGGCUCGCCGCCUAACCAAACCAAACACCACCAGCAUCUGAACGGUCUCUCCCCGCUCCACCACCGGCAGCUGAGCGGCCUCUCCCUCCCCCCUCCUCCUCCUCGACGUCGUGCCAGACAGCCCACUACCCCACGCUACCACCGCCAACUCUCCUGUCCUAUUCCUUCCCUGUACGCCGACCACAAAAGCGAUCGCUUAGCAAUAAAACUUUUUGACAGUACUACUGCCUGCUGACUUUGGGAUAAGAGCGAAUUGUGCUAGAUAACGAUUCCGAAAGGCCAUCUACUCGACGGUAAAGUCAAAUUGCACUUCGUGUUCACUAAAAAGUGGGAAGACCAAGCUCAUAGAAAGACAGCGGAAGUGGCCGAAACUUCGCACCAAAAGGUCGACGUCAAAGAUUAUAUAUCUUCAACUCAACGGACAAGUCACAACUCAGUUUGAACCAGAAGGCCAAGUGUGUUGCCGUCGUCGUCGUAAAUGUAGAGUCUAUGUACGUACCGACGUACAGCCGUUGUCGUCCUCGUCGUUUAAUGAAUGGAUGUUUCAUUUUGCCG